Molecule: unclassified non-coding RNA, 212 nt
Filed under: soil metagenome
Description: partial contains 5.8S ribosomal RNA, internal transcribed spacer 2, and large subunit ribosomal RNA
Source: RNAcentral
AACCUAGCACACCUGCGGUGUGUACCUGCGGAGGGAUCAUUACCGAGUUAUACAACUCAUCAACCCUGUGAACAUACCUAUAACGUUGCCUCGGCGGGAACAGACGGCCCCGUAACACGGGCCGCCCCCGCCAGAGGACCCCCUAACUCUGUUUCUAUAAUGUUUCUUCUGAGUAAACAAGCAAAUAAAUUAAAACUUUUAACAAUGGAUCU